AAAUAAGAAGCGAUAAAUUGCUCUCAGUUUCGACCUGAACUUAGGUGUCUACACCCUUAUUUA
RNAcentral lists this transfer RNA (63 nucleotides) under Caenis robusta. RNAcentral describes it as "tRNA-Arg". The record is from RNAcentral. Lineage: Eukaryota; Metazoa; Arthropoda; Insecta; Ephemeroptera; Caenidae.